UUCCGGAGCUGGGGAUCGAACCCAGGGCCUUGCGCCUGCUAGGCAAGCGCUCUACCGCUGAGCUAAAUCCCCAACCCUGGGGAUCUCAUUUUUUCUGUCAUCUUUUUUACAGGAAGGCCUUGAUCUCCUUGCAGUGAUGUUGUAAUUUGCGUCUUACUCUGUUUUCAGUGACAGUUGCCUGCUGUCAGAAAGCUGAAUCAGAAGGUUGACGAAAAUUAUUGCUGAGCAACUUAAAACUUUAGUUAGCUUGAGAUCUGAGCCGUGAAAUGUUACACAGUUGUGAAUUUCAGGGAUCAAACAGCAUCAGACCUGACUGAACUUUUUGCUUGCUUAGAUGGUUUCUUGUUUUGUUGAAAUUGAAGAUCUGGAAAGUUUAUAUCUUGAUCAGAAUAACAAAGCUCAUCACCCUGUAGGUCUAUGCCUCCCAGAGAAUGAGAGCUGGCAAGGGCAAAAUGAGAAACCGACGGCGGAUCCAGCGCAGGGGACCCUGCAUUAUCUAUAAUGAAGAUAAUGGAAUCAUCAAGGCCUUCAGAAACAUCCCUGGUAAAUCUUGUAUUGUUUUAACUGCCUGUUUUGUGCAAGCUUGCUCAGCUGUGGUUAUGAUGAAAUUCCACUUCAUGGUCCGUGUUUCUGAAAUAACAUGAUUUUGUGGAAGUUCUGAUUCCUAUGUGAGUGAGUUCCAUCCACCAUGAUGACUAGAGCUUCUAAGUGAUGUGCAGCUCAAAAAGCCAUGGCUUCCUGAUUCUUCUUUCCCCUUAAAGGUAUUACUCUGCUUAAUGUAAGCAAGCUGAACAUUUUGAAACUUGCUCCUGGUGGGCAUGUGGGGCGUUUCUGCAUUUGGACUGAAAGUGCUUUCCGGAAGUUGGAUGAGUUGUAUGGCACUUGGCGUAAGGCUGCUUCCCUCAAGAGUAACUACAA
RNAcentral lists this long non-coding RNA (918 nucleotides) under Rattus norvegicus (Norway rat). Its description in RNAcentral is "long non-coding RNA NONRATT027782". The stretch from base 130 to 228 matches the Rfam family "Small nucleolar RNA SNORD16". Lineage: Eukaryota; Metazoa; Chordata; Mammalia; Rodentia; Muridae. The record is from RNAcentral.